GUGCUCGCUUCGGCAGCACGUAUGCUAAAAUUGGAGCUAUAUGGAGAUAAGCAUGGCCGUGCGUGAAGAUGACAGUACUUAUUUUGGUAAAACUUUUGU
Small nuclear RNA from Ochotona princeps (American pika), 99 nucleotides. The record is from Ensembl. NCBI's taxonomy places the organism in Eukaryota, Metazoa, Chordata, Mammalia, Lagomorpha, Ochotonidae.